AGGAAAGUAAAGUUCAUAAAAGAUUUAGCUUUUAAAAAAUUACCUUUUAAAAUGAUGAUGUUAUCAUUUUAAAAGUUAAAUGUUGGUUUCCUAAUGUCCUGUGCCAUGACAGAUUUCUUAGUGUAUGGUAGCUUGUAAAAAUAUAGAAAAUAAUUCUAACGUUAUAGAAAAACUAAUCAUGUACUGAACCGCGAAGUAUGUUUACUGAUUUAACAGCGUCCGGGUAACUACUAAUAGGAAGCCUGAUGGGAGUCAACUUUGGAAAACCACAACUAUCAUCAUUAGGCGAACGUGGCUUAGUAAAUUGUUCAUAAACUCGCGUUUUCUUUUAGAAUGAUUUAUACAUACUGUCAUAUUCAGCUACAGAAGUUUGAUAUUUUUCAGUCACAUUUGGUGCUAGCAGUUUUUGCAAUCUUAUUUCCUUGGAGGUGACAUGAUUACAACAGAAAGCCUUAUCAGAAGAUUAAAUAGAGUGCGUAUGGAAAGGUUUAUUAAAAUACAAGAAGACACCAUGGGACAUAAAUGGCAGCUCAAGACACUUUCAAGCAGCAUGGAUGUUAAAAAGAUCUUUUACAGUCUUUGGGUGGUUACUGUAACAAGUAAAAUGAAGAGGUGGUGGCGACCAGUACUACAUAGUAGAUAUGAUCGGACCCUGGAGGCCAAGACUCGGUUAAAUCGGUUGAUAAAAAUUAAAGAAGUGGGGACAAAUGCGUAUGGGUGCGUUCGUGUUGUGUGUGAGUGUGCGCGCAUGCGUUUGUGUGCAUGCGCGUGGGUGCAGGGGGAGGGGGGUUGCGUUCGCGUGCCCGCCCGCCCACUUUCUCACCUAGAUGUGAUUGCAAGGGUUGAGUCCCAUGACUCACGAAAUCGUAAUGACACGAUUGCAAACAAACCAUACCCCGGCCGGGAUUGAACCCGCGGUCAUAGUCUCAAAACUCCAGCCCGUCGCGUUAGCCACUAGACCAGCUAGCCAGCUAUGGGUUGAGUCCCAUCUCGGCCCCGCCCCUCAACUUGCCGCUUGCAAAGUUGACCCAAGCUGACCCAGGGCCGGGUUGCAAGAGUAGCGACUCUCGAAACACACCAGAGGAACAUCAAAGGUAAAGAUACAACUGGGUGAUUAUAACAACCAAACGAACACACAUUCCUACUCAAUUCUCAUUUAAGAUUGUAUUUAAUUCAUCACUCUAAACGAUACAAGCAUGGUGUGUAUCUCCACGGUACAUCCCAUUUGAAAAUUUUGCAGUUCGUUGUAUCCCACAAUUCUGUAAGAGGCCUACAGUAUGGAUUUAUACCAGUCGUUGUCUUAAGCAAAUAAUUUAUAAUAAUUUACCUUCAGAUUCAUUGGAAAGAUUUAAGAAAUUGGUGUACGCGGUGUACAGCUGAAUUUGCAAAUCUCUCGUUCCUUUGAUAACUAGGAUGCUCGUCUCGACACAGAUGGUUUUAUUUUAAUCAUAAGUUUAUAAUGUGUAGUCUUCACGAACUCGAGUUGUAUUUAGCAGAAUAAUAUUUUGACGAUGUUGUAACAGUUGCUAUAGGUCUUUAUUGGGUUAUAUUAAUAAUAAAGGUUAUGGUAAACAUACCUAAGAUUAUCUUAGGCACAAACUAGCAUAUAAAGCUUGCAUUUAUGGAUAUUACAGAAACACUUAAGAGUGAGGAGCAUAUUGCUUAAUACUGCAGGCAACCCAUCACACUCCAACUGGUUUUUUUUCUAAUAAAGAGGCAUCUCGCUGCAUCCUUAGAUGUAUCACAUACAUCUAAUAUCAUGAAACCGUAGCAUCUUAAAAGGUAACUAAUCUUGACCUUGCAUGACGACUAUUUUAGCAUUCAUCUCUCACCAUUUUUAUAUGGUUUAAAUUUCAAAGCCCAGCCCUGUCUAACGUGUAACAUCUUGUACUACUCAUAAUCAAAUGUUUGCUGCCUUCACAGAUACCCACACAAAAGACCACUAUAUAUAUAUAUAGCGAAAUAUGGAUAACAGGGUACAACUUAUUUAGAUGUGACAGAAAGAGCAAGCAACGAGGGAGGGUUGGCCAAUAUAUCAGAGUCGCACACUUGCACAGAGUUUACUGAACACCACAAAUCAUGUAAUUGAAGUUUUAGCAAUAAAUAUUGAGAGAACCAAAACCUAGUGAUUUUGGUUGUAUAAGUCGCCAGAUGCAACUUCCCAACAGUUCAAGGAACAGUUGAAAAUUGAUUAGUCUGAAAAAUCUUCCAUCCCCAGCCCAAAAUAUUUUGAUGCUCAAUGACAGUUUAAGACAUACACAGGGGAAGAAUGUAGCCAGUAAUGUUAGAGAUAAUCCCAGGAAGCAGCUCAGAUGAAAAUUUCUCUCUCUCUCUCUCUCUCUCUCUCUCUCUCUCUCUCUCUCUCUCUCUCUCUCUCUCUCACACACACACACACGCACGCACGCACGCACGCACGCACACGCACGAGCUGCUGAAUCUAAUAAAUUCGUCUUAAACCAGAAAACAGUGGAGCCAACAAUUCUGGAAAACACAGUUGACUUUAUUUUCACGAAUAAUGAUGACCUGGUACGAAAUAUAACAGUAUCAAAGUUAAUUCAGAUCACAACCUAAUCGAAGUUCAGACUUGUUUGUACAGGGGUCCUGACUAGCAAAAUACAUAUAGUCAAAAAUACCUUCAUCACAGUCAACAAGAACCUCAACUGGGAUAAAAAAAAAAAUGUCCUUAAUGAAACAUGCUGGGAAAGUUAUCUUAACACUGAUCUGAACCAGUGUCUUUGAAAGGAUCAGCUACUUGGCAGUUGAAGUAUGCUUAAGGCGCAUUUCCCUAAGAAAAAAAGGAGAGUAUGUAAUCUGGAAAGAGAGCGAUGCACCCUCUACAGGUGAAGGUGAAAAAUCACUGAGUUUCUCAAGGGGGCUCGACUAUCUGAGUAGAAAAGUAGAAAAAAUUGAACUUAAAUGAACGAACCUGGGCCCCAAGUCCAGACUUGUAGAAUUCCGUGUUCGUCAAGAACCAUAGGAAAUCCCUUUCGUGUUCCCUAAGUAUGCUAUGGAGAGGGAGCCUGGACACGGGGGUCACCCUAUAGUCGUUAAAAACAACGGAAGUAGCCCCACUUCAUAAAGGUGGCAGCACAGCAAUAGCAAAUAAUUAUAGACCGACAGCGCUAACGUCCAACAUUAUAAAAAAAAAUCUUUGAAAUGCAUCUAAGAAGCAUGAUUGCCAGCCACUUGGAUUACCAACAUUUGCACAACCCAGGGCAACAUGGGUUUAGAGCAGGUCCGUCCUGCCUUUUGCAGCCACUAGACCACUAUGACAUGGUCUUGGAUGAACUGAAGGACAAACACUGCGGAUGUAGUAUACACAAACUUUUCAAAAGCCUUCAGUAAGUGCAGUUGUGGUGUAUUAGAGCACAAAAUGUGUGCUAAAGGAGUAACUGGAAAAGUGGGCAGAUGUAGCCUCAACUUUCUAACAAACAGAACUCAGAAGAGUAAUGGUAAACAAUUAAGUUGGAGGCUCACAAUGAAAAGUUCUGUUCCACAAGGUACAGUACUUUCCCCCAUCCUUUUCCUCAUUUUCAUAUCAGACACAGAGAUGUUAACCAUAGCACCGUGUGUUCCUUUGCAAACGAUACUAGAAUCUUCACGAAUAUCAUCCAUUGACACGGUAAAUCUCCAGGCGGAUACAAGCCAAGUUUUCCAGUGGUCCGCAAAAUUAUAAUAAAUUUCAGUUACCCCAUUAGGGAAAACUUGAGGAAAUAAUAGCUAGAAUGGAAUAUUCAACAAAUUCUAACAGAAUAGAACGAAAAUCUAAUGUGAAAGACUUGGGAGUGAUAAUGUUAGAGGAUAUCAUCUUUAAGGAUCACAACAGUGUCAGCAUCACAUCUGCGAUGAAAAUGAUAGGAUGGAUAAUGAGAACUUAUAAAAUAAGGGAUUUCGUGCCACUGGUGAUCCUCUUUAGGUAACUUGUUCACUCUAUACUGGAAUACUAAUUUACACUAACAGCCACAUUCAAGGCAGGUGAAAUUGUAGAUCUAGAGAAUAUACAGAGUACCUUCAUUGCACUUAUUAGUUCAGUCAGGAAACUUUAAUUACUGAGAACGUUUGAAAUUCCUUGACCUGUACUCCCUGGAAUGUAUGUGAGAAAAAUUUAUCGUAAGUUACACCUAGAAAAUCCUAGAGGGACUGGUCCCAAAUCUAAUGCAAUUCACUCCCUACGAAAGCAAAAGACUCGGCAGACGGUUCAACAUACCCCCAAUGAAAAGCAGGGGUGCCAUGAGUACACUAAGGAAAAAAACUAAGUAUCUGGGGCCCAAGACUGUUCAACAGCCUCCCAUCAUACAUGAGGGGAAUUAUCAAUAGAUCGCUGACUGUCCUCAAGAGGGAACAGGACAGAUACCUAGAGUCAGUGACCGAUCAGCCGGGCUUUGGUUCGUACGCCGAAUUGCGUGUUGCCUGCAGUAACAGCCAGGUUGAUCAGGCUUUGAUCCACUGGGAGGCCUAGUCUAGGACCGGGCCGCGGGGGCGUUGACCCUCAAAAUAAUCUAUAGGUAAACUCCACCCCUAGGAUUGAAAUCAUAAAAGUCAUAUGCAGUAUAAUGUGAUCCUUUAUUGACAACGUUUCGCCCACACACUGGGCUUCAUCGAGUCACAAACAGAUCUACCUGGGUGGAAGUCGUCUAACACCCAAGUACCUAUUUAUAAACUGUUAGAUAAAUACGAGCAGUAGGUAAGGAGACUUGGCUAUACAGCUAGCCAAACAUGUGAAUCGAGCGCGGUUCCUCUGUAAGGGAUUGGACCUUGACCUGGCUACAUAUUUCCCUGCACAGUGUAUAUGAGUCAGCAGUGAGCAGGGUUCACAUAUCAUCUGGCUGACCUUCACCCCACCAGACAUCGAUGACGACGUCAGGCCUGCACCACCCGUCUGUUGGCCUCAGUGAAGGACGCCUCCAGCUCUACAUAACGUGAAAGGCAAGCAGGAAAGGUCGCACAAUAUGCAGUAUUGUUUUGUAAUUAAAAAAUAAACAACUGUUUUACUUUUAACGCUCGUGUAAUUAUUUUCCAUUUGUUGGUUGACAUUAAAUUCAUCGAACAAGAAAUUAUCCAAAAAUAAACUUCAAAGGUUUUCGGGUGUAUACACAAUUUGAAUAUUUUAUCUUAGUAAAUUGCAUGGCUAAUAAAGUUUUAACUUUUAAUAUUUUCACAUAAGCCUUUUGAGCUUGAACUAGGUCGUCACAUUGUUUUAGACAACAAGAGUAGUCUAAAAUGUUUACUAUUGUUUUAUGACCUACACGAGUUUAGAACUUCUUUUUAAUAUGCUGAUCUUUUUGUAGCAGUUGUAUUUCACUCUGCUGACAGGGGGUGCAAAACUACUAAUUUUGAAAUGUUUCUCUCAUAGUUACCUUGAUAUUUCGUGCUUGAAGCUUAAAUAAGUUAGAGCGGUUUCUUCUGAUUAGGCGUUCUCAUCUCAGACAGGAUGUUAGUAUAAGAAAUAUUGCUUUUAUAUGUCAGAGCUGGUUAAUGCUGUAACAUGCCUCACCUUGAAUAACACUCGAGUUGCGAGUUGCACCUCUCUUGACAUCUUUAGCUACAUUCCUCUCGUUUAAUUUUGUAAAUUCUAUAAGAUACAAUACCAGUUAAUUUCUUAACCCAUUAUAUUUUAACUACUAAAUAAUUUCUCCCUAUUUUUCGUAACUACUUUAUAUAUAGCUAAUUGCUAAUAUUUUAUUGCGCAAUGUUGGCUGUUUUUUUUUGAGUAAUAUAUUGGUGCACAGCAACCAUCCAGGGAGGUAAACUGUCAAUUCAUGCGAGUGUAGAACAUAAACUGGAAAGAAUUCGUCUUUUUUUCAGUCUUAUGAACAAAUAAACAUCUCCCAUCCAGCAUACGCAUAUUUUUGUUUCUUAUUCAUAAUAUUUUGUUCCCCAUUUAGAAGGUCUGGUCUAAGACCAGGCCGUGGGGACGAUGAUUCCCGAAACAAGAUACGAGCAUAGAUAUCAAGCAAAUGUAGUACACUAAAAGAUGGACUGUUGUUUAUUGUCACUGUCUAACCAAAAAAUGGUAAAGUGCCGACACUGUUUUAGGCAUUAAUUUAUUUCUUGUAUAUGUGUAGGCCUGCGUACGUGAGAGCGUGUAUAUUAUUCUGUAAAUGCUUUAUUCAAGUCUAUUCGUCAUCAGAUUCUGUAGUAGUAUGCAUUGCUCCGUUUACCCUUGUAAUCGUUUUUAAUAUUUUAAAGUACCUUACCUUUGAUAUGCCUUUGAUGAGUUGCGAGAAUUUUUCUACUCCCAGAGUCUGGCCUUAGACCAGGCUCGUUUCGGGCUUGCCUGAUCAACCAGACUGUUGCUGCUGGUGACCCGGUGACCCACAUAUCCAUCACAGUAGAAGUGACUUACGACAUUGUAUAUAAUGCUAAAGUUAUGUCACUACCUGCCAAAUGCCUACCCCUCCCCUGCCAUAUUUUCUCUUUAUCGUCCAAAUUAUAAUCGACAUAAUUGCCAGUAUAAACAGAUGGGAUAUGAGCUAUAAUACUUUAAAACUAUAAUAUUUUUUUUUAGGAUUCAAUCCAGCUUAUGGAAGGAUGCAAGUUGUACUUGAAGUUAAUGCAGGAAAUCAUUGCAUUAUCAACUAUUUUGCUCGAUAGUGUAUUUUGUAAAACUAGCAACUGCUCUAACUUUGCAAACUGUCAUGUGUCUGUUUAUAUCUGAUUAGGGUUUCAGGAUCAUUGCUCCCGCGGCCCGAUCUCAGACCACUCCAAGUAAAUUGUAAUGGAAUUUUACAGGAAAAAGAAGAAACAGGCAGUAAGUAAUGAUACGUGUAUUGUAGGAGUUUGUAAGAUAUACGUACUUGUUAUCUUAACUGUUGGUGAAAAAAAAACGAUAAUGCCAGUAUAAAACGUUUAAAAUGUUUACGUUUCACGCACGCUUAGCAGGACGGUAGCUCCUCCUUGGAUGGUUGCUCUCUACCAAUACAUUACACUGGUCAACAACCAAAAUGCUUCCGAGACCAGAGUAGCAAUUUCCAACUAGGUAAGAUAAUGAAUAUCAUGGUUAAAAUUGUUUGUUAGCUUUCCUUUUCAAUAUACUGUACAUCUCCGUGUCACAACAGGUUCCAACAGGCUUGCGGCAGUAUGUUUCUUACCACACUCAGUCUCACUGACCUUCAUUAUUGUUCCAGCAGUCAUAGAAGGUGGUUGUGAUGUGCAAGCUCAUAUUUUGAGGUAAAAGAUGCCUCGUACUUGUGUGACUAGUACAGACAACCUUUGCUACAUUUGUGGUGAUGUAACCCUUGCAACACAGAAGCGCCAUAUAACUGAUAUGAUUAGAAAGGCAUAUCACCUAUAUUUUGGAUGCAAGAUUGGUGAUCAGGAUAAGAACUGGGCUCCACACAUAAGCUGCAACAGUUGUGCUACUAACCUUCAGUUUCUCGUCAGGGAUUCAAGUAUUUACAUCAAAAUUCCCCUUACUGAGGGACACUAAGAUAAGAGAGGGAGUCUUCAAUGGUCCUUAGAUUCGAGAGCUUCUUAAAGUUGGUGACUUUGAAUCAGACCUUCAUGGGGAGGAGAAAGCUGCUUGGGAAGCAUUCAAGUUAGUGGCGAAGGGAUUUCUCGGAAACAGAGGGGAAGGUAACUAUGAAGAAUUGGUGGAAAACCUCAUCAAGGCUCACAAGAACAUGAGAUGUAACAUGUCACUUAAAGUCCACUUUUUGGACUCGCAUUUAGACUUUUUUCUAGCGAACUGUGGGGAAGUUAGUGAUGAACAUUGCGAAAGGUUUCACCAAGAUAUUUCAACCAUGGAAAAAUGGUACCAGGCCAAAUGGGGCACAAGAAUGCUUGCAGACUAUUGCUGGACAUUAUCAAGAGAUGAUUCUUCAGCCCACUAUAAGCGUCAUGCAAAAAGGCAGAGAGUAAGUACGGAUUAGAGUUUAAACCAUACUGACACAUAUUGUACGUUAUAAUAAAAUAAUCAAAUAUUA
This is a non-coding RNA of Cherax quadricarinatus, 7925 nucleotides long. NCBI's taxonomy places the organism in Eukaryota, Metazoa, Arthropoda, Malacostraca, Decapoda, Parastacidae. The record is from RefSeq and is a predicted model, not a curated record.